UAUUAUUCAGUGAAAAUGGCUUCUGCAGAACUUAUCGAUCAGUGCAAAACAUGUGCGUGUCUGUACGUGGUACGAUUUAGCAAUAUGCAAUGUUUCACAUUCACAAACAAAUACAUGAAUUAAUCUCUUUCCAUUUGUCUGUGAAUGCAGAACCAACGCCGCGCAUAGGAAGACCAUCUGUUUCACAUCCGCUGUCAGAGCACCUCCUCUAUAAACAGCAUUGCUUUUAGGCUAUGUGAUUGGAUAUUUCCCUUUUUUCAGCCCUGAUCUCAUUUCCUGUACAGUGACAAGCUAUAUUUAUUUAUUUAUUUAUCUGCUCGGGCUAGAAAUGUAAGCGACUGGCUUUCGAUGUUACUGUAUAUAACAUAACAGCUGGAUCUCUGGAGACAGACGGAGUGUUUAUGCAGCUGUCAGCUCGCGCCAGUGCACGAAAUGGUUUGCAAAACGUACAUAAGCGUUAUUCUCUGAUAAAAAGCGGCCUGGCUUUGAUGUAGCCCUGACCUACACAAACUCUGCAGAACUGCCUCUCGUGGACGGCUGAAGGCCUGCUGUUGAACUUCUGACUGACAGGAUGUCUAUCACAGACCAUAGCCCCACCACCGGGGUCGUCACAAUUAUUGUAAUACUCAUUGCCAUUGCCGCACUGGGGGCUUUAAUUCUGGGUUGUUGGUGCUACUUGCGGCUGCAGCGCCUCAGUCAGUCUGAAGACGAGGAAAGCAUUGUUGGUGAAGGUGAAACCAAGGAGCCCUUCUUGCUGGUGCAGUAUUCGGCUAAAGGCCCGCGGGUGGAGCACAAGACCAAGCUCACCCCUAAUGGCACCGAGAGCCACACCUAAGUCCUCUCAUCUCCCUUCACAAUGCAUACUGUGUCGUGUUUGUAGACUCUGUCAGUUUUAAAGAGUUUUAAACCUUACAGUGUCAAUCAACAUUGAAAUGAACCUAGUGCAUGCAGUUGUCUAGUUGCUUUGACUUGAUUUUUCCCCGCCCAUGUUGUGGUGGUAGAGCCCUUUUAUAAUGUGAAAUCGAUGACUGUCAGUGUUUUGUGCAGUGCUGUUUGUAAAGCCGUAACUGCGUUCUGAAGCGAAAUCAAAAUGAUUCUUAUUUCUUUGGUGGUGUUUUUACUUUAUUUUAUUUUUUUCAUCCAGAGCUGGCUCUGGGAUUAAGAAAUUCAACAUGAGUUUUAAUGGACUGACUUCAAAACCAUGUCAAGUUUUUCAUCCAGUUCAUUCCAUUUACUUUUAAAAAUAAAGGUUCUUUAUGCAUAUCUGUGGUUCCAUGAAGAACCUCUAACAUCCAUGGAAUUUUUCCAUUACACAAAAUGUUCUUUAUAGUAAAAAAAACAGUUAUUUUAAGAAUUGUUCACUUAUGUUUUUUGGGAAACAAAAACAGUGGCUCUUCUAUGGCAUUGCUGUGAAAACUCCCUUUUUGAACCUUUAUUUUUAAAUGUUGAAUUGCAAUACAAAAGAAACGUUUUUCAUUACAAAUAAGUAUUUCAGGAUACCAUAACUUGCCAAAUUAUGUAAACUGGCUUUUAAAAGCUCUUACAUUAUAUUUAGACAUGUUUAGAAUCAUGGUUUCAUUAGCACUUUUUAUCUUUAAUGUGACAUACAAGUGAUUUUGUAAACUGCGUUUGCUGAUUCUGGUUUAAACCUGCUGGGAAACCACAAUAAGAACGAAAGCCAAUGACUGAGGUCUUUUUAUUAUAUUACUGUGACCCCAGAGGCGUUCGUUUUUCAUGGUUGAGCACAUUUCUGCAUCGCGGGAAAUCAUUUGAAAGUAUAGAUAUUAUUUUUAUAGAUGGCUUAAUGCAUAACUGGAUACUAAAAAAAGUCAUUGUCUCGUGUUUUUAACCUGUUCCUUCAUAGUAUUAUUUUUUGUUUCAUGAAUUCCGAAUGUAUUUGUGAUAUCACAGUGUUUGCUGUUUGUACAUGCAAGAUGAAAGUGAGAGAAAUGAUUUAUUUUUCUACAGUAUUCAUGCAAAUGUUGUCUAUGGGGCAAAAUCAACAGUCAGACAUAUAGGGAAGUAGAUGAUGAAGCCUGAAAUAAGCUAAAAUGAUUUCAUUGAUGUUGCUGAUGUUUUGGGUUCUGUCAUACAUUUGAAGUCGGGAGAUUUUUUUCGUGUGUAUUAUGUACUGUUCAAUAUACAGAAAUAAACAAGGACAGUACAUGCAUGUUAAUUUAAUCUGCAUAUUUGAGAAAAGCAACCUUUCAUGAGUGAAGCACUCAGUAUAUAGCUUGUCACUCCAGCCAGUGUGUCUGUCCAGUGUUUGACUGUACUGAACAAUAAAACCUGUUACUAGGCAAA
This is an RNA transcript of Cyprinus carpio (common carp), 2304 nucleotides long. It is a transcript of the gene named stannin-like, with no coding region annotated. The record is from RefSeq and is a predicted model, not a curated record. Lineage: Eukaryota; Metazoa; Chordata; Actinopteri; Cypriniformes; Cyprinidae. The transcript is spliced from 2 exons.